RNAcentral lists this small RNA (100 nucleotides) under Arabidopsis thaliana (thale cress). RNAcentral's name for it is "ATSL267450". Lineage: Eukaryota; Viridiplantae; Streptophyta; Magnoliopsida; Brassicales; Brassicaceae. The record is from RNAcentral.
GAAACCAAAACCCUAACGAAGCUUCUUCUUGCUUUUAAAAGCUUUGAUGGUGUAGCCAAAGUCCGUAUAAGUCGUUUGCGUUUUAUCUUCUAACAUGGAA